Molecule: ribosomal RNA, 138 nt
Filed under: uncultured bacterium
Lineage: Bacteria
Description: partial 16S ribosomal RNA
Rfam family: Bacterial small subunit ribosomal RNA
Source: RNAcentral
UGGGGAAUAUUGGACAAUGGGGGAAACCCUGAUCCAGCGACGCCGCGUGUGUGAAGAAGGCCUGCGGGUUGUAAAGCACUUUUAGUGGGGACAAAAAGCCCACGGAUUAAUACUUCGUGGUCUUGAUUUAACCCAAAG